RNAcentral lists this ribosomal RNA (2148 nucleotides) under human gut metagenome. RNAcentral describes it as "bacterial LSU rRNA". It matches the Rfam family "Bacterial large subunit ribosomal RNA", at positions 1 to 2003 of the family's 2925-position model. The record is from RNAcentral.
UGUUGCUUGCAAGGGCGUAUGGUGGAUGCCUUGGCAGACAGGACCGAUGAAGGACGUUUGAGGCUGCGAUAUGCCUCGGGGAGCCGCCAACAGGGCUUUGAUCCGAGGAUUUCCGAAUGGGGGAACCCACCGACCGUCAUGGGUCGGUACCGGCUUCGGCCGGGGGGUACGCAGGGAAGUGAAACAUCUCAGUACCUGCAGGAAAGGAUAUUCCGUGAGUAGUGGCGAGCGAAAGCGGAUGAUGGCCAAACCUUGCGCGUGUGAUACCCGUCGGGGGUUGCGCGCGGGGUGUUGCGGGAUCGCGUGCGCCGGCUCCGACGGGCCGGCCGGCAGUUGCAGAAAACCAUGUGUCAGGGGAACCGGGUUGAAUACCGGGCCGCAGAGGGUGAGGGCCCCGUACCUGAACGCGCAUGGUCUGCCGAUCGCGUCUCCCAAGUAGCACGGGUCCCGUGGAACCCCGUGCGAAUCCGCCCAGACCGUUGGGUAAGCCUGAAUAUUCCUGUCUGACCGAUAGCGAACGAGUACCGUGAGGGAAAGGUGAAAAGUACCCCGGGAGGGGAGUGAAACAGUCUCUGAAACCGUGCGCCUACAAUCCGUCGGAGCCCUUUUGUGGGGUGACGGCGUGCCUAUCGAAAAAUGAGUCUGCGAGUCAGUGGCGGGUGGCGAGCAUAAGCCGUGUGGCGUAUGCGUAGCGAAAGCGAGUCUUAAAAGGCGUUUUUUAGUCGCUUGUCCUGGACCCGAAGCGGGAUGAUCUAGCCCUGGGCAGGUUGAAGCGCGGGUAAGACCGCGUGGAGGACCGAACCCACCUGGGUUGAAAACCGGGGGGAUGACCUGGGGCUAGGGGUGAAAGGCCAAUCAAAUUCCGUGAUAGCUGGUUCUCUCCGAAAUGCAUUUAGGUGCAGCGUCGGUCGAUUGCGUCGCGGGGGUAGAGCUACCGGAUGCUUGCGGGCCCUUGUUGGGUACCAACAGCAGCCGAACUCCGAAUACCGUUGACGUGUAUUCCGGCAGUGAGUCGGCGGGGGAUAAGCUCCGUCGUCGAGAGGGAGACAGCCCAGACCGUCGUCUAAGGUCCCGAAGCGUGUGCUAAGUGGGAAAGGAUGUGGAGUCGCAUAGACAGCCAGGAGGUUGGCUCAGAAGCAGCCAUCCUUGAAAGAGUGCGUAACAGCUCACUGGUCUAGUGGUUCCGCGCCGACAAUGUAGCGGGGCUCAAGCACACCACCGAAGACGCGGCAGCAAUCUUCAUGGUUGCUGGGUAGGAGAGCGUCCUGCGAGGGGCGAAGCGGCGGUGGAAACCGGCCGUGGACUUCGUGGGAGUGAGAAUGCAGACAUGAGUAGCGAGAGACGGGUGAGGAUCCCGUCCGCUGGAUGACCAAGGGUUCCGGGGCCACGUUCGUCGUCCCCGGGUGAGUCGGGUCCUAAGGCGAGGCCGACAGGCGUAGUCGAAUGGAUGAACGGGUGGAUAUUCCCGUACCGACCAUGGACCGGCAAAACCGAGACGGUGAGUACUAACCUCCGCCUCGUGGUGGUUCCUUCCUUCGGGUUGGUAUCGCCGCGUGGUGUUGGGACUGUAGCCGCAGUAGGUCAGCGCAGGGGUGACACGGAAUGGGAGCCGGCCGCGGAGGUGGUUUUCCGUGGUCAAGCACGCAGCCAGUCAUGUAGGCAAAUCCGCAUGGCGCGCAUGGCGAGGUGUGAUGAUGGGAGCCUUUUGGCUCGAUAUCCGGUUGUCCAGGCCGUCGAGAAAAGCCUCGGCGUGAGGGCCAUGGCCGCCCGUACCCCAAACCGACACUGGUGGUCAGGUAGAGAAUACCAAGGCGAUCGAGCGAAUCCUGGUCAAGGAACUCGGCAAAUCACUCCCGUGCCUUCGGUAUAAGGGAGACCCGCUGGGGUGAACCGGCUAGCCCGGGGAGCUUUGGUGGGUGGCACAGACCAGGGGGUAGCGACUGUUUACCAAAAACACAGGUGCAUGCGAAGGCGAAAGCCGCUGUAUAUGCACUGACGCCUGCCCGGUGCCGGAAGGUUAAGAGGAUCCGUCAACUCUUCGGAGCGAAGCGGUGAAUUCAAGCCCCGGUAAACGGCGGUGGUAACUAUAACCAUCCUAAGGUAGCGAAAUUCCUUGUCGGGUAAGUUCCGACCUGCACGAAUGGCGUA